CUCAUCUUACCCAUUUUCAACUUUUACUCUGUAUGAAAAUUAAUCUUAAUGGUUGAUUCAACACCAUUUACUAGUAUAUUCAGAUUUCCAUUACAUUUAUUUCACAAAGAGCCACCUGAUUUUAAAGCCAUUGUCAAAAAUAGGCACUGGUCUUUGUAACAUCUUAUGCAGACAGGUGAGACAACACGGAUGAAAGCCCAAAUCUUACUGCCUUUCCUUCACUCCACCUCUAAACUUUCCCAAGUGAAGGAAAAGAAAGGGCAAAACAACAAAUUGUAUGUAAGUUGGCACUUAGGUAGUCAUCUGAGUUGGAUCUCUAAAGAGGAACCAUCGUGAAGACUACUAAAGGAAAACCAAAAAGAAAGCUUCCUCCAUUUCAGAGCUUCUCUGUGGUGCCCUGGUUCUGUGACUACACUGGAGUAGAGACGCCUUCUGGGAUGUAUGAGCCAACACACUGUCUUAGGGUAGGCAAGAGUCCUCUCUGGGCUAAGGGAGUCAAUUCUUAGGAUCCUACAAACAAGAGAGUAAAUACCUAUGGCAUUUGACAACAGAAUAACAUUCUUUUAUCUGUUCAGUUUUCUGCCUCCUCCCUCCACUAUACCACAAAUCUAUAUAAAUGAUUUUAUCCAGUCAUCAGCAACCAUACUGCCAAAAAGGUAAACUCUAAUCCUAUCUCCAAUUAAUGUUUUCUUACAAGUCUGUACUCCAAUCAAACUCAGCCAAUAACUCCCCUUAAAGGCUGCCCAUUCUACUCAUCAAGCCACUGUUCAUACACGGCUGUGGGCAUCCUCUCACUGUCUUGUUAUUAGUUAGCUUUACAUUUAUUUCCGGGGCAUUCUCCUAACCAGGAGGUCAACUUGGAGAACAGGACAGGGCUGUAUAAUUGUUAUAUUCUGUUACAGAACAUGACUUUAUUAUAUAACAUACUGUUUGAAAAUCACAACCCUAUAAGUAUUUUCUCCAUGAAUCGGGUGAUACAUUAUUAACAAUUUUAAAUAAUAAUUGGGAGCUAGAAAAACUAAUCUGGGAAAAUGGAUCGUUAUUAUGGCAGUUGACCACAUUAAAAAAAAAAACCCUCAAAGCUAUUUAGUUUGGAUCAGUGUAAAUAAAUUCACUGACUAUUCAGCGAGAGGAUAGUAAAAAUAGAAUAGUGUCAGAUGUUAGAAAUGGCAUCAUGUAUAUGUGAAGAGCUCAAUAAUUUAUAAAACAGUCCAUAUAUUAUGUAACAUCUUCCUUUCUACAAUCCUGUGAAACAGGUUGAGCAAACAGUGUCACCCAUACUUUAUAAAGAAACCUAACUUCAGAACAGGCACCCUGAUAAAUUAAAGGCAGCAUUAGGAAUAUAACCCCAGCUGGGCGCAGUGGCUCAUGCCUGUAAUCCCUGCACUUUGGGAGGCCGAGGCGGGUGAAUCACGAGGUCAGGAGAUUGAGACCAUCCUGGCUAACAUGGUGAAACCCGGUCUCUACUAAAAAUACAAAAAAAAAAAAAUUAGCUGGGCGUGGUGGUGGGCGCCUGUAGUCCCAGCUACUCAGGAGGCUGAGGCGGGAGAAUGGCGUGAACCUGGGAGACGGAGCUUGCAGUGAGCAGAGAUUGCACCACUGCACUCCAGUCUGGGUGACAGUGCGAGAGACUGUCUCAAAAAAAAAAGAAAAGAAAAAAAAAAGGAAUGUAACCCCAAUUCUGUAUCCUGGCCAUAAAGAAGACAACUCAAUCAUGUGGCCCCUGAAAAGGUGUUAGAAGCCUCGACUGCUUUAUUACAUGCUAGCCGACUUCAUAAUCCUUAAAUAGGACAAAUAACCCAACAAUAGGUAUAGAUUAUAAACUUGGCUAAGCUGUGGGCUCGGUGAGGGCAAGUGCCUCUUCUCUUAUAUAUACAGCAUUGCCAUAGAACCUACACAUUGAAGGUCCUCAAAUAUCUAUUUAAUUGAUAACGUAUGUUUUGU
This 1944-nucleotide long non-coding RNA is filed under the name Homo sapiens (human). RNAcentral's name for it is "LHRI_LNC2035.1". The record is from RNAcentral. Lineage: Eukaryota; Metazoa; Chordata; Mammalia; Primates; Hominidae.